Molecule: long non-coding RNA, 280 nt
Filed under: Glycine max (soybean)
Lineage: Eukaryota; Viridiplantae; Streptophyta; Magnoliopsida; Fabales; Fabaceae
Description: long non-coding RNA (GMAX_LNC001718)
Source: RNAcentral
GGGUCAUGGCCCUUAAUGACAGAGAUUCAUAAAUCUAAAUCCUUUUCUAAACCUUUGUCAAAGGUUAACUUAGAGUGUCUUCUUCUGCGAUGUAUCUUUGGGAGAUGCUUUACAUGAAGUUUUUUGCAGCAUCCCUUAUCCAACAAGUUUAAUGUUUUUUCUCCACACACAAAGUAGUGAACUUUUUGUUCCCUCAAAGCUCAACAACAGGGGUAUCUAGGAUCUUCCAUUAAAUUUCAAGCAGUGAGUCAUCUUUUCUAUUUAACAACCUGAAACGACU